UCUGGUGAUUCUGCCAGUAGUCAUAUGCUGGUCUCAAAGAUUAAGCCAUGCAUGUCUAAGUAUAAGCAAUUUAUACGGUGAAACUGCGAAUGGCUCAUUAAAUCAGUUAUCGUUUAUUUGAUAGUACCUUACUACAUGGAUACCUGUGGUAAUUCUAGAGCUAAUACAUGCUAAAAACCUCGACUUCGGAAGGGGUGUAUUUAUUAGAUAAAAAACCAAUGCCCUUCGGGGCUCCUUGGUGAAUCAUAAUAACUUAACGAAUCGCAUGGCCUUGCGCCGGCGAUGGUUCAUUCAAAUUUCUGCCCUAUCAACUUUCGAUGGUAGGAUAGUGGCCUACCAUGGUGGCAACGGGUAACGGGGAAUUAGGGUUCGAUUCCGGAGAGGGAGCCUGAGAAACGGCUACCACAUCCAAGGAAGGCAGCAGGCGCGCAAAUUACCCAAUCCCGACACGGGGAGGUAGUGACAAUAAAUACUGAUACGGGGCUCUUUUGGGUCUCGUAAUUGGAAUGAGUACAAUCUAAAUCCCUUAACGAGGAACAAUUGGAGGGCAAGUCUGGUGCCAGCAGCCGCGGUAAUUCCAGCUCCAAUAGCGUAUAUUAAAGUUGUUGCAGUUAAAAAGCUCGUAGUUGAACCUUGGGUCUGGCUGGCCGGUCCGCCUCACCGCGAGUACUGGUCCGGCUGGACCUUUCCUUCUGGGGAACCUCAUGGCCUUCACUGGCUGUGGGGGGAACCAGGACUUUUACUGUGAAAAAAUUAGAGUGUUCAAAGCAGGCCUUUGCUCGAAUACAUUAGCAUGGAAUAAUAGAAUAGGACGUGCGGUUCUAUUUUGUUGGUUUCUAGGACCGCCGUAAUGAUUAAUAGGGAUAGUCGGGGGCGUCAGUAUUCAGCUGUCAGAGGUGAAAUUCUUGGAUUUGCUGAAGACUAACUACUGCGAAAGCAUUCGCCAAGGAUGUUUUCAUUAAUCAGGGAACGAAAGUUAGGGGAUCGAAGACGAUCAGAUACCGUCGUA
This 1009-nucleotide ribosomal RNA is filed under the name Aspergillus fischeri NRRL 181. Its description in RNAcentral is "SSU rRNA". It matches the Rfam family "Eukaryotic small subunit ribosomal RNA", at positions 1 to 1022 of the family's 1831-position model. The record is from RNAcentral. Lineage: Eukaryota; Fungi; Ascomycota; Eurotiomycetes; Eurotiales; Aspergillaceae.